UGGAUACUCUUCGUAUGUUAUUCCGGUGAACGCCCCGAGAAACACAGGUAUCCUUAAGAGGUCUGACAUUAUAACGAUGCGGCAUGCAAUUGUACUGAUGAUUACCAUCUGCGUCAUAACUUUGUUCAUGGGAAAUUCCCGAAACAUACAAGGCGAGAUUAACGGAGAUAACGGCGGUGGAAUGGAAGGUGUUUAUCGUGUAAAAAGGAAUAUCAUUGGCGAACCUCAAGAUGGAGAUGUAUUUGAACCUCCUGCAGACUCUGGUCCAAUAUAGGCGGUGGUGGUAGCGCCAGCGGAGGCCGGUAAUGGAAGACUCUCAAAGGAUUACAACAGGAAUCAAUAAAACCAUUCACACCCUAC
Molecule: long non-coding RNA, 360 nt
Organism: Mizuhopecten yessoensis (Yesso scallop)
Lineage: Eukaryota; Metazoa; Mollusca; Bivalvia; Pectinida; Pectinidae
Exons: 3
Source: RefSeq, a predicted model, not a curated record